AGUGCAAAACUGAUUUGGAAGCCUUAGUUGUAGAGAAAACUCACCUCACUAAUCCUUCAUCAUUUUUCUCUUAAGAAGCUCCCUUUGUUUUUCUCAAAGAAGUCCAAGCUUGAAUCCAAGACCAAAACAUUCACUCCAUCUCUGAGUUUCUUAAGUAACGAGUAGAUGCAUGGGGAAAAAUGGGAUGAACCUACUAAAUAAAAGAAAGUUUUUCCUACUGCUAUUUCAAGAGUUUGAGUACUGUAAUAUGUUUUGCUAAACUUUGGUAUUGUAUAAAUAAUGAUUUCGUUUCCUAAUAAAAGUACUAUUCAGAUA
Molecule: long non-coding RNA, 315 nt
Organism: Rosa chinensis
Lineage: Eukaryota; Viridiplantae; Streptophyta; Magnoliopsida; Rosales; Rosaceae
Exons: 2
Source: RefSeq, a predicted model, not a curated record